CCCUCCCCUGCUGCAUCCCACCCCCAUCCAUAGUAUGUGUAAUAGUAAUUUUCUUACUACCCCACCAAACCUAAACUACCGGUAAUCUAUUUACUCACCUAUUUUGCAAUAUGUAUAUUAGGAUGCAACGGACCAUCCCAUCCUAUUUUCCUGGAUCUAGAGUCCAUCCACUCCCAUGCCGGUUUUCCCGCAUCGACCAAGAGGGAGAGGGCACGGGAGAAGGCUGGCGGUGGAAGUGUCCUCCAGCGACGGGCGGCGGACGAUGGGCGAAAUCGGUUAAUGACGAGUGAAAUCGGUCGGAGGUGGCGAUGGUCGCGGGUCGCCGACGUCCUUUGCGCCGAGCCAUGGAGAGGUGAGGUGGUUCUGGCUAUUUUCCUCGCUCGAUCUGGUGCUCCCUUCCCCACCCCGCCCAUGAAUCGGCGUCGACAUCGACAGGAUCUCUUGAGGAGGAGGGGGCGGUUGACGGCGGGAUGCGGGGAGGAGCAUCCGGCUGCGUUGACCACACCCUGAUUCCUCCCUCGAAGGAUCUGGCACGGAUCAGGCCUCCCAUCGCUGCCUCCCUCCCACAGCGGUGGCGUCAUGAUCUGUGAUGCACGAUGAUAAUGAGGUCUGCACUCGUGCCGGUCGGCAGCAGGCGCUGGAGACCCUGGCCACGCAAAGCAGGCAUGGGGAUGGCGGUCAGGACCGAUGGAUGGAUGGAUGUCAAUUCGUAUGUGUUCCAAUGAAAGUCAGGAUGUUUUAUUUGUUUUAUUUUCUCUCCAUGUUCUAUCUACUCAAUCAAUCUCUAUAGGCAAUAGCUACUUGUUUUUCUUUGAGGAAGCAUAGCUGCCAUGUUUGAUCAAUUAAUUGCAGCUUAUUUGCGGGCGCCAGAUAUGUGUGGUGAUUGCUUGUGUUCGUUGAUGCGCUGUAUAACAUACAUGCAUGUUCCAUCGAUCCAUUGUAGAUCAAUUUGUAGUGAAUGCUAGAUCAUUCUGAAUUUAUGAUUAUUCUUUUCAUUAAGAACAUUCGGUCCAUUUUUAUUCUUGAAAUCGUUUUUCAUCUGAAAAGAUGGCAGGUUUUGUGUAGCUUAUAACUUGUAUGUUAUUAAUCAGAGAUAUAUGGAUAUUUUAGCCUGAAGUAUCCCAAUUACCUAUUCUACAUUUUUCAGCCAACUGCAUUCUUAAUUUUCUUUUUUGUAGAAUGUCAUCGAUCACAGAUCGGGACUAGGCAAGCCCAGGAACUACCGUUAAGGAAACAUAAUGUGACAUCCAUGCUUGUCUGAAUAAAAAAUGAUCUGUUGGCUAAAAGUAGGCAUGAAGGAACCUAAACUGGUAGUUCAAUUUUUUAUAAAGCAUUUUAUUUCUUCUUCGGCGAAUCAUAUCUCAUUUAGAGUCAUUUAUGAGUGUAAAUUAAAGACUUCUCUUAGAUGAUGUAAUCGUUUUUGUUUAUAUCCAGGUGGCUGUGGGAUGCCUCUCUAGAUGUUCGUGGGUGAUGGAUAUCUGUCGAUGGGAGACCUAAGGAUCUAUAGUGCUUUGUCGGCUCAACAUCGAUAUGUGGCACUAGCGCCGUCUUGUUUGUUGGAUUCGUGCAUGUAAUAGUAAUUUAGUUACUAAGAGACAUUAAGAAUCAUCGGUGUAAUAGUAACUUGGUUACUAAGAGAUUUUUUUGGCAAUAUCAAUAUGUUAUGUUGAGAUUGGUGUAAUAGUAAUUUAUUUACUAAGAGAAAUCUUGUGAUGA
Molecule: non-coding RNA, 1716 nt
Organism: Oryza sativa Japonica Group (Japanese rice)
Lineage: Eukaryota; Viridiplantae; Streptophyta; Magnoliopsida; Poales; Poaceae
Source: RefSeq, a predicted model, not a curated record